RNAcentral lists this unclassified non-coding RNA (330 nucleotides) under soil metagenome. RNAcentral describes it as "partial contains 5.8S ribosomal RNA, internal transcribed spacer 2, and large subunit ribosomal RNA". The stretch from base 1 to 120 matches the Rfam family "5.8S ribosomal RNA", at positions 35 to 154 of the family's 154-position model. The record is from RNAcentral.
GAUGAAGAACGCAGCGAAAUGCGAUACGUAAUGUGAAUUGCAGAAUUCAGUGAAUCAUCGAGUCUUUGAACGCACAUUGCGCCCUCUGGUAUUCCGGGGGGCAUGCCUGUUCGAGCGUCAUUAUAACCACUCAAGCUCUCGCUUGGUAUUGGGGCUCGCGGUUCCGCGGCCCCUAAAAUCAGUGGCGGUGCCUGUCGGCUCUACGCGUAGUAAUACUCCUCGCGAUUGAGUCCCGGUAGGCCUACUUGCCAGCAACCCCCAAUUUUUACAGGUUGACCUCGGAUCAGGUAGGGAUACCCGCUGAACUUAAGCAUAUCAAUAAGCGGAGGA